Solanum dulcamara is the source of this 5879-nucleotide long non-coding RNA. RefSeq lists it as uncharacterized. The record is from RefSeq and is a predicted model, not a curated record. NCBI's taxonomy places the organism in Eukaryota, Viridiplantae, Streptophyta, Magnoliopsida, Solanales, Solanaceae. The transcript is spliced from 3 exons.
GGGUUAUCUGUUUAACCAUUAACUAAAACCUUACAAUCAAAACUGAACCGUUAACUCAAUAAUUGUUUUUUUAUAAAACCGUUAAUCCAAUAACCCGAUACGGAUAAACCAAUAACAUUUUUUUUCAGUUCGGUUUAUCUGUUAAACUAGUCUUUGCACAUCCCUACUAAGAAGUUACUAAUACCGUGGUCCCAUAUCCUCCUAUCAUCAUAAAUUGUAAAAAAGUUCUUCCUAAUCACAAUGGUUUUUUUCUUUUUGAAAAGGUAAGCAAGUUAUUCAAAAGAUGAACUUUUUUGCAGUUAAUGCUAUUGCAUCAUUGGCAUUAUAUAUUUGGUACCAAAGUAUAAAUUGUUUGAAUCCUGCUGCUAAUCUACCUUUUUUCUCUCUUGAGAUCUAUAAUUGCUGAACUAUAAAACUAGUUAUUAUCAAUCUGGAAUGUGGUAUGAUUUUUCUGGUAAUUAUCUUGUCUUCCAAUAAGAGAUUCAUCCAGCAUGUAAUUUCACACAGGAAAGGGCAUCUAAGCCUUGAGGGCGCAAUUGAUGAUUCUCCCUUCCACAGACCAAUUAGUAAAUGGCUACUUCUGUCCAGAUUUUCCCUCUUGCUUAGAAAAUAGUAUUGCGGCAAAUAGCAUAUGAAUGAUACUCCCUCCAUUCCAGUUUUAUGUGACAACAUUUGCUUUUUAGUCCUUUCCUUCAAAAUAAAAAAGCAGCUUCUAAUUUGAAAACUAUUUAGUCUGAACUUCUCAUUUUUACCCUUUAUGAGAAGCUUUUAUGGCCACACAAAUGUUAUGACAUGUUUAACACCACAAGUUUCAAAAGUUUUUUUCUUUUCUUCUUAAACUCUAUGCCCUAUCAAACUAUGCCACUUAAAUCGAAACUGAAGGAGUAAUUGUUUUAUCAAGCACUUGGUAAUCAGCUAUAUGAUGUGUUGUCUGGGUGUACUUCAGGACAAAUAUUCUUGAUAGCAAAGAUAAAUACAGUGUAUGGCUAUAGCACCGUUCAAUAUGAUCGAUGAACACUUCCAAGUCUCUUAUUUUGCAAUAUGUUUGGAGACGUCUAGUCAGUGCAGGAGUUAGAUGCAACUGGAUGAGCAAACUGAAGAGGAGCUUAAUGAUUCCAGGACUUUUCUUAAUCCUCUUGCUGGUGCAGCUCUUCAUUUAUGUCCACAUUUUAUGUCAAAAUUUCAGUUCAUGACAGGAAAAGAGAAGGAUUUGGAGAUCAAUCAGCUAUAACUGAUGACAGGUUCCUUGUAAUUUGUUUGCUCAUGCAUCUCUUGAUUCCUUAGUGUUGGUAUUGGAGAUUCAAUCAGCUCUACUUUAUCAACAUGUCAAGAAAAACUGAUCAAGUAGGCCCAGACCCUGAAACUUCAACUCUGGCACAUUCUCAAAAUCCUUUAAAGUUAAUGAAAAUGCUCUUUUAAUACCAGGGGAUAACAGUAAAAUAGAAAUUUAUAGAUGAGCCUUUUGAGGUAUUGACGGAUGACUGUGAAACUAAUGAUAAGAUUGGGAAUUUUUUAUCACAUUGUUGAUUUUGCAAUAAUUGUAGAAGGAAGAAGAACCAGCCUAGAAUAAUAUGCGGAGUAACUUAUGCCAAAAACAAAUGUGGGAGUCUUCAAUGUUAACCUAUUCAGCAUUUCAUAAAGAUGUCGAAGAUGAAACUGUGAAAAGCUGAAAAUAUUACUGAAGGGAACAAAUCAGCUAAAAACUUUCCAGCAGAAAUUUCUUGUAAAGAUCUUUGAAAAUAUAUCGAAUUCAAGAGGUGAAAGUAGAGUGUUCAACUAAUUGAAGCUCAACAGGUGGAGAUACUGAGAGUGAAGAAGAGGUUGCAUUUACUGAAGCAGAAAAUGUCAAUGAAGGCAUAAGAAACUUCAUCAGAUUUCUCUGGAAAGUCAUCAGGCCCCGUGAAGAAACAGAAGAGAGUGAAUGAUAAUCAUCCAGGGAAGGAAUCCUGUGAAGAAAGGGAUAGAGGUGCGCAACUGGAGAUAUAGAAGUUAGAAUAGUUUCUAAGCAAUUGCCUGCCGAAGAGGGAUUAUGUAUUUCUGGAUAGAAUUAUGUGCAGAGGACUAUCUAAGAUCUUUUAUGCCAGUACAUGUGAAGUAUCACUGCUACCCAUUGCUCCUUUGAGAGCCAUGCGAUCUUGGAGGCGAAAAGCACGAUGUGAUUUCUUUGCAUCUGGACAGGCCUUGGUAGUAAGAGUUAAUCAGUGUCUCUAUUGGUGGGAGGUAGCAACCUAGCAGGUACCUGGUAGAAUAGUCGAGGGGGCUCAAGUUGGUCCGAACACCACUAUCAUAAAAAAAAAAAAGAAGAAAGAAGUUUAUGGAACUUGUUUAGAUUGCAUGAUCUUACCUAUUUACAAUUCGUGGUUAUAUCUGCUUAUUUACACCAAUUAUUGUUUGUUAUUUGCAUCAAAAAUAGAUUUUUAAAGCAAAUGGCUAACUAUAUUUGGCCUAGUAAUUACUUUGACAACCAGAUAAAAGAACCCUUUUUUUUUAAUCAAUUUCGCUAGGCAAGGUGUGCCUAGGGCUAGUUUUUAUUAAUAAAGAAAAAGGACCUCAAAGAGAAAAGUACAAACAAGGGGGGCUAGGCCUUACCUUACUAAUCCUAAUGAGGUAACGAACCUCUACUAAUUAAUAAGCAUGAAGAAAAUAAGAGCUAGAGAAAACUAGUAUUCUAUAAUCAUCAUAGAGUUUAUAAUACACUCUGUGAUGAUACUACAAAUAAGGAUGCUUAAGUAAUGCCAAAAUAUAAAAUCUAAGAAUAAAGUUGAGUUAUCAACCUCAAACUUUAUUUUAUAUAUGUAGGAAUUAAAAAAGAUAGUUUGCCCGUGUAAAGUAGCCUGAAGUAUUUCCCUCGUCUUCUUCGUCAAAUAUGUCCAACAAAACUUGAUAGUUCAUCACUUCUUUUUGGAUUUAUUUGAUCUUGUUGUUGUUGAAACUUUCAUAUGAUUUUGCUUUGCCAAUCGCAUCGGUAUGUUCCUUGGAAUAAAUUCCUCAGUCAACUUACCAUCCCAACUAUGUUGCCUUUCAUGUGUCGUUUUUUUUUUGUUGCUUCCACUUCUUUGUUGCCUAGGUGAGAGAUCCCCAUCCUUGGCUACCUUAUCAAAUAAUAUGUCUAGCAUAUCAUCCUCAUCAUCCCCAUCAAACAUGUCACUGCCCAAGUCAAUAUCAUUAGUUGUAGUUGGACUAAGUCUUGAAACUACAUCUUCUGACUCAUGGCUCUUUUCCAAUACCUUGGUGGUAAUGGUCAAGUUCUUUUUAGAGUUAUCAACUGUCACUUCCAUAGAUGGAUUUGGCUUACUUGAAGGCACAAAUGUGGGUGCCUGAAGACUUAACUUCCUCCUUGCUGGUGAAAUAAUAUGCUCCUCUUCCUCAACUAAAUCUGCCCACCUAGAAGCACUCAUUUCCUGUUGGUUUUUCUUAUAAACAAUCAAAUCGUUUGUAAAAUUAGCUUGAGAGAUGGACGAAUUACCUUUCACCAAAGUCUUGUCAUUCCUUAUGGAGAUUAGCUGCUGCCCGGAUAUUUGCUCUCCAAGCGACUCCAAAGAUGGGGAAGGAACAUCAUGAUCUGAGGUGUUGAUUGUGGCCGUAGGUGAUUUGACCAUUGGGUUUGCUUUAUUCAACAUUGCGGCCUGUGGCUCCUUGAUUAUUCUAUUAGUUUCUGUAUUAGAAACUUGAAGAACUGGAUUGGAUGCAUGGAGCUCUUGAUCAGAAUUGAUCAUUAGGGCAUCAAGGGUGUUAGAGCACACCACCUUUCUUGAUACUUUAUCUUCACAAUUUACUGUCUGCUCGUUGCGAGUUGGGUUAGUGCCAUCAAGUUGUUGUAUUUUGGUGCUACCUGGAGAAUUUUUUUUGCUUGGUACUUCAGUCCAGCCUCCCUUAUCAUUGUCAUUCAAAGCGAAGUCAUGAUCACAUGUACCACCAGAUUCAAAGUUUUGAUCCAAAUUUUCUCCACGCUGCUGCACCUUAUUAGCCUGGCCUGGAUCUUUAAUCGUAGCCAAACUAGGAUCUUUACCAGAUAAAACACCAGCAGCAGGUAUUUUAGGAUUAGGCGCUAGAUCAGUCUCCAAGUUAAUAACAGGAACCACUGAAUCGCUAGUAUCACCAUCCUUUGCACCAAAAACCAAAGUCUGCGAGAUCGUAGCUAAGGUGCAAUUUACUGUAGCUAUAGUAUUUAGAGUAUCAUCUCGAACACAAGUAUCAACUACUCGAUCUCUAUUAUUUUCAACAGCUUCCACCAUUGCCAUUUUAUUAUUAUUUGCAUCUGUAUCUCGAGUAUUAUCAUCAGUACUUUGAUCUAUAUUUGCUAGUCCCCUGAAAUAUUCCAAAGAGUUCAAUUUUCGAGCAAGCAAGAUUACGCCAUCUGCAGCAAGGUGUAAUGUGAGUAUUUUUCUUUUGAUAAAGUUAGAAAUGAUAAAAAUGUAGAGAUCUUGUGUAGGGAAUUAUAUGUCGAUCCUGAAACAAUUUACUAUUAAGUAGAAUUACAGAGAAUAGCCAUGUUGCCCGUUGGUAAAGAGUAAAAGUUUCACGGGUACCGUAUUUGUAUUCCGUUAUUUAACCUGAAGCCAGUUUUAAAACUUUUUUGCAUGCCUACCACUUCGGAACUAGACCAAAUGUCUUGUUCUUCUUUAGACCAUCAAUAGGGAAUGUGAGUUGGGUUUAGACUGUCGUGAGACUGCUUAGUUUUACCCUACUGAUAACCGUGUCACAAUAGUAAUACAUCCUAGUACCUCUUGUUAAAAUUUGAAGUUUAGUCAUGCUUCACCAAGGAUGAUUAUUCCACAUUUGAAACAAUGACUAUGGAAUGCAGAAUGAAAGAAAUCAGUGACAAUUUUGAAGACAAACCUACAUUGUACAUUUCCUGAAAUUCAAGUUUCUGAAACUUUUUAACACGGUAUAUAUUAUGUUUUGUAAAUGAUGAGAAUAGCUUGGUAGAUGUCAUAGAUUCUACGUACAAAAAGCUCACUGUAAAUGGUUAGCUUUCUUUAUGCAAUGUUUACAUUAAUUAAUGCUUCACUUUUUUGUCCAUUUCAUAUAUCUUUUGCUUUCCCAUAUGCUUUGUGUUCCUUCUGCGUUUUUCCGACAGUAGACAUGUCAUUUAAUAAGAACACUAGUCUUCAACUCUCUCUCUCUGUUUUAAUCAACGGUGGUGUCCGAACCAGUUUGGGCACACCUCUACUAUUCCACCAUACUUGCUACCUCUCAGUGCUCCUACCAGCUCAAUGCAGAGCAGGACGCAGUUUUUUGGGGGAGAAUCACUUGGCACGAGAGGCCUCCCGUAUGAGGUCAUGUAGAUUGUUUUGGGGGAGAAUCACUCAGCACGAGAGGCCUCCCGUAUGAGGUCAUGUAGAUUGUUUUGGGGGAGAAUCACUCAGCUCGGGACCUCCCAUGUGAGGUUAGGUGAUAUUCAACAAUUCAGGCAGGAAUUGUUGAAAAGUGGCUAACAAUGAUGAGAUAAUGGUAGAUGGUGUUCAAGCAACUCGUGAUUCGACUAUUUCAAUGGAUACCUGCUGCUUGUAACCUGCACAGAUAUCAGGUACCACCCAUCAAAACUUAGAUAUGAGACAUCACCUAGCGUUGCUUGUUUUCAUGGUAACAAAACUCUUAAACCUAAUACAUAGAUGCCAAAAUGGCUGGUGCUCUACUUAGUGGCAGAGCUAUAUUUAUCGAGUUCAAUUGAAUUCUUUUGUCGGAAAAUUAUGUUAUGUAUAUAGGUGAUAUAUAAAGUGUUGUAUCACCUAAACACAAAAGAGCAUUUUUUAUUUAUUUGUUUGGAUUACCUCUUUGAAGUUUCUGCUUCCGCCACAUGUAAUAGCAAUUCGUUUGAACACAAAUCAAUCCACAAAAUUAUGUAGUAGUUUUAUAAAGAUGUAUAUAAUUCCUUG